This 432-nucleotide ribosomal RNA is filed under the name uncultured Sphingobacteriales bacterium. RNAcentral's name for it is "bacterial SSU rRNA". It matches the Rfam family "Bacterial small subunit ribosomal RNA", at positions 948 to 1382 of the family's 1533-position model. The record is from RNAcentral. Lineage: Bacteria; Pseudomonadati; Bacteroidota; Sphingobacteriia; Sphingobacteriales.
AAUUCGAUGAUACGCGAGGAACCGUACCUGGGCUCGAACGUAAGAUGACUGUAGGUGAAAGCUUACAUCUCUUCGGAGCAUUUUACGAGGUGCUGCAUGGUUGUCGUCAGCUCGUGCCGUGAGGUGUCGGGUUAAGUCCCAUAACGAGCGCAACCCUACCUUUAGUUGCCAUCAGGUAAUGCUGGGGACUCUAAAGGAACUGCCUACGCAAGUAGUGAGGAAGCGGGGAUGACGUCAAAUCAGCACGGCCCUUACGUCCAGGGCUACACACGUGCUACAAUGGCCGAUACAGAGGGCAGCUACCUGGUGACAGGAUGCAAAUCUCCAAAGUCGGUCUCAGUUCGGAUCGGAGUCUGCAACCCGACUCCGUGAAGUUGGAUUCGCUAGUAAUCGCGCAUCAGCCAUGGCGCGGUGAAUACGUUCCCGGGCCUU